AUUCCAGCUCUAAUAGCGUAUAUUAAUGUUGUAGCAGUUAAAAAGCUCGUAGUUGGAUUUUGGAGUUUGACAAGUGGUCUGCCUAAGGUGUGUACUGCUUGUCGGCUCUUCUUUUCUGGGGACCACGCUGCUCUUUAUUGAGGGGUGCUGGGAAUCAGAUCUUUUACUUUGAAAAAAUUAGAGUGUUCAAAGCAGGCCCACGCAUUGAAUACAUUAGCAUGGAAUAAUGGAAUAGGACUUUGGUCUUAUUUUGUUGGUUUCUAAGGCCGAGGUAAUGAUUAAUAGGGAUAGUUGGGGGCGUUUAUAUUCCAUUGUCAGAGGUGAAAUUCUUGGAUUUAUGGAAGAUAAACUACUGCGAAAGCAUUCGCCAAGGAUGUUUUCAUCA
This 385-nucleotide ribosomal RNA is filed under the name Katablepharidaceae sp. RNAcentral's name for it is "partial small subunit ribosomal RNA". It matches the Rfam family "Eukaryotic small subunit ribosomal RNA", at positions 582 to 975 of the family's 1831-position model. The record is from RNAcentral. Lineage: Eukaryota; Cryptophyceae; Kathablepharidacea; Katablepharidaceae.